This 640-nucleotide long non-coding RNA is filed under the name Erythranthe guttata (spotted monkey flower). RNAcentral's name for it is "long non-coding RNA (EGUT_LNC001626)". Lineage: Eukaryota; Viridiplantae; Streptophyta; Magnoliopsida; Lamiales; Phrymaceae. The record is from RNAcentral.
UUCAUAUAUAUACACUACAACAAUCUGUAGUAGACUAUGGUAUACUAUAGUGUACUACGGUGUACUAUGGUAUACUAUGAUUUACUACGGUAAACUAUUCCGAACCCUAGCCGCGAACAACUCUCAAUCGGCCAGCAGCAGUAAACGCAGCCGCAACGAAAUCCUAGCAGCCAAGCCAUAUCUUCUUCAUCAACUGCCCUUAAUUUUGCUUCCAUAGCCUCAGUUUGUUUCUUCUCUCCAGCCCUAUCUUCUUCAACGCAAGCGUCAUUCAUGUAAAGGCGAGCCUUGAAGAGGUAGCGGUUAGCUCUCCCUAGGUAGCGGAUAUAAUUGGCCCUUGCGCUCAAGUUAUCCUGUACAACACGUACGGUGCGGCUGCAAAACAUGUUCUUUCAAUUGACGACAACACGGCUGCUCCACCAUCCGUUGGGCCGCUUUAAGGCAAGGCUUCCAAUCGUGUGGCACCGGAAUUGGUAUGCUCUUGUACUCACCUCCACAAUUCAGCAUUAUUUCGAACACCGACUGUCCUGGAGGAUCCGGCUCCAGAGUGUUGUACACUAUAGCAAAUAACGCGUACUCUAUUGUGUACUGGAUUUCGCGCCUCUCGUCAUCCGGCAACAUUAUAUUUUUUUUUUUCUUUUUC